Perognathus longimembris pacificus (Pacific pocket mouse) is the source of this 104-nucleotide small nuclear RNA. NCBI's taxonomy places the organism in Eukaryota, Metazoa, Chordata, Mammalia, Rodentia, Heteromyidae. The record is from RefSeq and is a predicted model, not a curated record.
GUGCUUGCUUCAGCAGCACAUAUUCUAAAAUUGGAAUGAUACAGAGAUUAGCAUGGCCCCUGUGCAAAGAUGACACACAAAUUUGUGAAGCAUUCCAUAUUUUU